RNAcentral lists this transfer RNA (72 nucleotides) under Blastopirellula sp. Its description in RNAcentral is "tRNA-Cys". It matches the Rfam family "tRNA". From Rfam's summary of the family: Transfer RNA (tRNA) molecules are approximately 80 nucleotides in length. Lineage: Bacteria; Pseudomonadati; Planctomycetota; Planctomycetia; Pirellulales; Pirellulaceae. The record is from RNAcentral. RNAcentral also lists the same sequence under 3 other names.
GGCGCCGUGGCCAAGUGGCUAAGGCAGAGGAUUGCAAAUCCUUUAUCCCCGGUUCGAAUCCGGGCGGCGCCU